This 274-nucleotide ribosomal RNA is filed under the name uncultured bacterium. RNAcentral's name for it is "partial 16S ribosomal RNA". It matches the Rfam family "Archaeal small subunit ribosomal RNA", at positions 473 to 747 of the family's 1478-position model. The record is from RNAcentral.
AAACCAGCACCUCAAGUGGUCAGGAGGAUUAUUGGGCCUAAAGCAUCCGUAGCCUGUUCUAUAAGUUUCUGGUUAAAUCCACUAGCUCAACUAGUGGGCUGCCGAAAAUACUGUAGAACUCGGGAGUGGGAGAGGUAGACGGUAUUCGGUAGGAAGGGGUAAAAUCCUUUGAUCUAUUGAGGACCACCUGUGGCGAAGGCGGUCUACCAGAACACGUUCGACGGUGAGGGAUGAAAGCUGGGGGAGCAAACCGGAUUAGAAACCCCAGUAGUCC